AAUACCCUUCGGAAUUAACUAGUAAUUUAUAAUAACUUCUCGAAUUAUAUAACUUUACACUAACAAUAGUUUAUUUAAAUUUCUACUUUAUUAAUUUUCAACAGCUAGAUUUUAGCUAACUAUAGUAAUAACGGGUAAUAGAGGGUUAGGGCUCGACCCUAGAGAAGGAGCCUAAAAAACGGCUACUAUAUCCAAAGAAGGUAAUAAGCGUACAAAUUACCCAAUCCCGAUACGGGGAGGUAAUAAUAAUAAAUAUUAAUAUAAGGCUUUUUUAGGUUUUAUAAUUAGAAUAAGUACAAUUUAAAUCCUUUAACGAGGAAUAAUUGGAGGGCAAGUCUAAUACUAAUAGCUACGGUAAUUCUAAUUCCAAUAGCAUAUAUUAAAAUUAUUAAAAUUAAAAAGCUCGUAGUUAAACCUUAGGCUCGGCCCGUCGGUCCGCCUUACCGCAUAUACUAAUUAAGUUAGGCCUUUUUUCCUAGAGAAUUAUAUACCCUUUACUAGGUAUAUUGAGGAAUUAGGAUUUUUAUUAUAAAUAAAUUAGAUUAUUUAAAGAAGGCCUAUAUUCGAAUGUAUUAGUAUAGAAUAAUAGAAUAGGACGUAUAGUUCUAUUUUAUUAAUUUUUAGGACUGCCGUAAUAAUUAAUAAGGAUAAUCAGGAGUAUUAAUAUUUAAUUAUUAGAAGUAAAAUUCUUGGAUUUAUUAAAGACUAACUACUACGAAAAUAUUUACUAAGGAUAUUUUUAUUAAUUAGGAACGAAAAUUAGGGGAUCGAAGAUAAUUAAAUACUAUUAUAAUUUUAAUUAUAAAUUAUACUAAUUAAAGAUCGGACGGUAUUAUUUUUUAAUCCGUUCGGCACUUUACAAUAAAUUAAAAUAUUUAAGCUCCUAGGGGAGUAUAAUUGUAAAAUUGAAACUUAAAGAAAUUAACAGAAGGGUACUACUAAGGGUAGAACCUAUAGUUUAAUUUAAUUUAAUAUAGGGAAACUUACUAAGUCCAAAUACAAUAAGGAUUAACAAAUUAAAAGCUCUUUCUUAAUUUUGUAAAUAGUAGUAUAUAACUAUUCUUAGUUAGUAGAAUAAUUUAUUUAUUUAAUUACAAUAAUAAAUAAAACCUUAACCUACUAAAUAGCCCGUAUUACUUUAGUAAUAUACUAGCUUCUUAAAGGGACUAUCGGCUUAAACCGAUAGAAAUUUAAAGUAAUAACAAAUUUAUAAUACCCUUAAAUAUUCUAGGCCGUAUACAUACUAUACUAAUAUAACUAGCGAAUACUCCCUUAACUGGAAAAUCCGGGUAAUCUUAUUAAAUUGUAUUAUACUAGGGAUAGAAUAUUAUAAUUAUUAUUCUUUAAUAAAAAAUCCCUAGUAAAUAUAAAUUAUUAAUUUAUAUUAAUUAUAUUCCUACCCUUUAUAUAUACUACCUAUUGCUACUACUAAUUAAAUAGCUCAAUAAGGCUUCCGAAUUAGCCUAAGGAAGUCGGUAACGAUUACCUAAAGCCGGAAAACUAUCCAAACUUAGUUAUUUAAAGGAAGUAAAAGUCGUAAUAAAAUCUCCGUUAGUAAAUUAACGGAAGGAUUAUUA
Ribosomal RNA from Neurospora crassa OR74A, 1577 nucleotides. It matches the Rfam family "Eukaryotic small subunit ribosomal RNA", at positions 225 to 1831 of the family's 1831-position model. NCBI's taxonomy places the organism in Eukaryota, Fungi, Ascomycota, Sordariomycetes, Sordariales, Sordariaceae. The record is from Rfam.